Molecule: transfer RNA, 75 nt
Filed under: Alistipes sp.
Lineage: Bacteria; Pseudomonadati; Bacteroidota; Bacteroidia; Bacteroidales; Rikenellaceae
Description: tRNA-Pro
Rfam family: tRNA
About the family: Transfer RNA (tRNA) molecules are approximately 80 nucleotides in length. Their secondary structure includes four short double-helical elements and three loops (D, anti-codon, and T loops).
Source: RNAcentral
CGGGGUGUAGCGCAGCCCGGUUAGCGCACAUGCUUUGGGAGCAGGGGGUCCCAGGUUCGAAUCCUGGUACCCCGA